RNAcentral lists this ribosomal RNA (435 nucleotides) under uncultured bacterium. RNAcentral's name for it is "partial 16S ribosomal RNA". It matches the Rfam family "Bacterial small subunit ribosomal RNA", at positions 28 to 507 of the family's 1533-position model. The record is from RNAcentral.
GAUGAACGCUGGCGGUAUGCUUAACACAUGCAAGUCGAACGGACUCUUCGGAGUUAGUGGCGGACGGGUGAGUAACGCGUGAGAAUCUGGCUUUGGGUUCGGGACAACCACUGGAAACGGUGGCUAAUACCGGAUGUGCCGAGAGGUAAAAGAGAAAUUGCCUGAAGAUGAGCUCGCGUCUGAUUAGCUAGUUGGUGAGGUAAAGGCUCACCAAGGCAGCGAUCAGUAGCUGGUCUGAGAGGACGACCAGCCACACUGGGACUGAGACACGGCCCAGACGACUACGGGAGGCAGCAGUGGGGAAUGUUCCGCAAUGGGCGAAAGCCUGACGAAGCAAUACCGCGUGAGGGAAGAAGGCUCUUGGGAUGUAAACCUCUUUUCUUAGGGAAGAACAAAAUGACGGUACCUAAGGAAUCAGCAUCGGCUAACUCCGUG